RNAcentral lists this ribosomal RNA (331 nucleotides) under uncultured bacterium. RNAcentral describes it as "bacterial SSU rRNA". It matches the Rfam family "Bacterial small subunit ribosomal RNA", at positions 568 to 897 of the family's 1533-position model. The record is from RNAcentral.
UGUGCAGGCGGUCGGGUAAGUUGGAUGUGAAAGCUCCUGGCUUAACUGGGAGAGGUCGUUCAAUACUACCGGACUCGAAGAUGGGAGAGGGAGGUGGAAUUCCGGGUGUAGUGGUGAAAUGCGUAGAUAUCCGGAGGAACACCAGUGGCGAAAGCGGCCUCCUGGCCCAAACCUGACGCUCAUACACGAAAGCUAGGGGAGCGAACGGGAUUAGAGACCCCGGUAGUCCUAGCUGUAAACGAUGUAGACUUGGCGUCGGUGGGUUUAAAUCCAUCGGUGCCGAAGCCAACGCGAUAAGUCUACCGCCUGGGGACUACGGCCGCAAGGUUAA